This 400-nucleotide ribosomal RNA is filed under the name uncultured bacterium. RNAcentral describes it as "bacterial SSU rRNA". It matches the Rfam family "Bacterial small subunit ribosomal RNA", at positions 355 to 772 of the family's 1533-position model. The record is from RNAcentral.
UGGGGAAUAUUGGACAAUGGGGGCAACCCUGAUCCAGCGAUGCCGCGUGAGUGAAGAAGGCCUGCGGGUUGUAAAGCUCUUUUAGUGGGGAAGAUAAUGACGGUACCCACAGAAUAAGCACCGGCUAACUCUGUGCCAGCAGCCGCGGUAAUACAGAGGGUGCUAGCGUUGUUCGGAAUUACUGGGCGUAAAGGGCGCGUAGGCUGGAUAUUAAGUCAUUUGUGAAAUCCCUGAGCUUAACUUAGGAAUUGCAAGUGAUACUGAUAUUCUAGAGAUUGAUAGAGGAAAGAGGAAUUCCCAGUGUAGAGGUGAAAUUCGUAGAUAUUGGGAGGAACACCAGUAGCGAAGGCGACUUUCUGGGUCAAAUCUGACGCUGAGGCGCGAAAGCGUGGGGAUCAAA